This 379-nucleotide ribosomal RNA is filed under the name uncultured eukaryote. RNAcentral's name for it is "partial 18S ribosomal RNA". It matches the Rfam family "Eukaryotic small subunit ribosomal RNA", at positions 592 to 976 of the family's 1831-position model. The record is from RNAcentral.
CAAUAGCGUAUAUUAAAGUUGUUGCGGUAAAAAAGCUCGUAGUUGGAUUUCUGUUGAGAGCGACCGGUCCAUACCAUGUAUGCGUAUCUGGCUUGCUCUCGGCAUCCUCUCGAUAGACGUUACUGCGCUUGAUUGCGUGGUGCGGAUCUCGGGACUUUUACUUUGAGGAAAUUAGAGUGUUCACGGCAGGCUUUCGCCAGAAUACAUUAGCAUGGAAUAAUACUGUAGGAUCUUGGUUCUAUUUUGUUGGUUUCUAGAAUUGAGAUAAUGAUUAAUAGGGACAAUUGGGGGCAUUCGUAUCAACACGUCAGAGGUGGAAUUCUUGGAUUGUGUUGCGACGAACUACUGCGAAAGCAUUUGCCAAGGAUGUUUUCAUUGA